This is a long non-coding RNA of Acinonyx jubatus (cheetah), 900 nucleotides long. RefSeq lists it as uncharacterized. The transcript is spliced from 3 exons. The record is from RefSeq and is a predicted model, not a curated record. NCBI's taxonomy places the organism in Eukaryota, Metazoa, Chordata, Mammalia, Carnivora, Felidae.
ACCCCACCCUCAAACUCCCAGAUCACCCCCCCAGUAGGCGGGGCCUCGUCAGGAGGCGGGGUUGAGAUUGGCGGGAAAUCUUGGGCGGGGAGUGCCCGCGGCGGCUGAGAGCUUCGGGGCGGCCACUACAAAAUCGCCCUUCUCGGAUCCUCAGUGAUUAUUACCUGUGUAUUGCCGAUUCCCUCCAGUUUCUCACCGCUCGGCUGAUACACCUGAAAUCGUUCGAGACGACGCCUGCGACUACAGUGGCUGAGAGUCCACUUUCUUUAUACUUUCACCAGCACUGGAUAGGGUAUGGCUCUCUUAUUCCACAGAAGUAAAUAAUUGCAUUUCUUCAGAUCAACUUGAAUCUAAACCUGAGCUCCCAUCCUGCCAUGCUGGUGGGUAAGUCCGUCUCGGUUACUGAGCAUUUCCUCUCCAUCUAGGAUUGUACAAAGUUUCUAGGGCCUUAAUUAUCAUGGAAAUACCUGGAAAUUAUUUAGUUGUCUGUCCACAUUGAUUUACUGCUAAGAUUCCCUUUUAUGCCAUCUUCCCUUCAGGUCUCAUGACUCUGAUACUCCUUUACCACCCUUGGAAUCAAAUGAGUGAAUCUAGCAGCCCAAGCACCCAGGUGCAGCCUUCCCCUUUGAGGUUUUGCCACCAUCCUGGGUUCUGUCACAGAGCAAGACAGAAGACUUAGCUGCUUACUCAACAUUUGAGCUUCAGACUUCUAAGUCUUAAGGAAUCUGUCUUCCACCUCACCUUCAAAGGCAUUUCUGUCCUUUGUUUCUCCUCCUUAUUUCAAAAGACAACAAGAGCCUAUGUUUUGCUUUUUGCCUUACAAAAAUAUGAGGGUCUGGAUACUUGCUUGAAUGGGGGUGAGGGGCAGGGGGAUACAUAGAAUUAAUAUCUCAACAAAAU